CGGUAGGUGACCUGCGGAAGGAUCAUUA
Molecule: ribosomal RNA, 28 nt
Filed under: uncultured Cortinarius
Lineage: Eukaryota; Fungi; Basidiomycota; Agaricomycetes; Agaricales; Cortinariaceae
Description: partial 18S ribosomal RNA
Source: RNAcentral